Molecule: small nuclear RNA, 106 nt
Filed under: Sciurus vulgaris (Eurasian red squirrel)
Lineage: Eukaryota; Metazoa; Chordata; Mammalia; Rodentia; Sciuridae
Description: U2 spliceosomal RNA (ENSSVLG00005013519.1)
Rfam family: U2 spliceosomal RNA
About the family: U2 is a small nuclear RNA (snRNA) component of the spliceosome (involved in pre-mRNA splicing). Complementary binding between U2 snRNA (in an area lying towards the 5' end but 3' to hairpin I) and the branchpoint sequence (BPS) of the intron results the bulging out of an unpaired adenosine, on the BPS, which initiates a nucleophilic attack at the intronic 5' splice site, thus starting the first of two transesterification reactions that mediate splicing.
Source: RNAcentral
AUAGCUUCUCAGUCUUUCGGCUAAGAUCAAGUAUAGUAUAUCUUUAAGUUUAAUGUCUAAUAUGUCCUCUAUCCAAGGAUCAUAUAUUUGAGAAGGCAGAAAUGUU